This 423-nucleotide ribosomal RNA is filed under the name uncultured prokaryote. RNAcentral's name for it is "bacterial SSU rRNA". It matches the Rfam family "Bacterial small subunit ribosomal RNA", at positions 355 to 774 of the family's 1533-position model. The record is from RNAcentral.
UGAGGAAUUUUGGACAAUGGGGGAAACCCUGAUCCAGCGACGCCGCGUGGAGGACGAAGGUCUUCGGAUUGUAAACUCCUUUUGCCCGGGAAUAAUAAAUCUGUAGAAAUACAGAGAUUGAAUGUACCGGAUGAAUAAGCCACGGCUAACUUCGUGCCAGCAGCCGCGGUAAUACGAAGGUGGCAAGCGUUACUCGGAAUUACUAGGCGUAAAGCGCAGGUAGGUGGUUGUGUAAGUCUGCUGUGAAAGCUCCCGGCUUAACUGGGAGAUGUCAGCGGAUACUGCAUAGCUAGAGUGUGGGAGAGGGUACUGGAAUUCCAGGAGUAGCGGUGAAAUGCGCAGAGAUCGGGAGGAACACCAAAGGCGAAAGCAGGUACCUGGACCAUUACUGACACUAAGCUGCGAAAGCUAGGGGAGCAAACA